This 146-nucleotide unclassified non-coding RNA is filed under the name soil metagenome. RNAcentral describes it as "partial internal transcribed spacer 1". The record is from RNAcentral.
CCGAGUUUACAACUCCCAAACCCCUGUGAACAUACCACUUGUUGCCUCGGCGGAUCAGCCCGCUCCCGAUAAAACGGGACGGCCCGCCAGAGGACCCCUAAACUCUGUUUCUAUAUGUACUUCUGGAGUAAAACCAUAAAUAAAUC